RNAcentral lists this ribosomal RNA (301 nucleotides) under uncultured bacterium. Its description in RNAcentral is "partial 16S ribosomal RNA". It matches the Rfam family "Bacterial small subunit ribosomal RNA", at positions 509 to 807 of the family's 1533-position model. The record is from RNAcentral.
CAGUAGCCACGGGAAUACAGAGGGUGCGAGCGUUAAUCGGAUUUACUGGGCGUAAAGCGUGUGUAGGUUGUUGUUCAAGUCAGUUGUGAAAUCCCUGGGCUCAACCUGGGAACUGCUUCUGAGACUGAACGACUAGAGUACGGUAGAGGGUGGUGGAAUUUCCGGUGUAGCGGUGAAAUGCGUAGAUAUCGGAAGGAACAUCAAUGGCGAAGGCAGCCACCUGGGCCUGUACUGACACUGAGACACGAAAGCGUGGGGAUCAAACAGGAUUAGAUACCCCAGUAGUCCCUGUCUCUUAUAC